This 1300-nucleotide long non-coding RNA is filed under the name Salvia miltiorrhiza (redroot sage). RNAcentral's name for it is "long non-coding RNA (SMIL_LNC006967)". The record is from RNAcentral. Lineage: Eukaryota; Viridiplantae; Streptophyta; Magnoliopsida; Lamiales; Lamiaceae.
UUAAGUCUUUUCAACGUUGUUUCUCAUAAUUAGAUAACGACUAGUUUCCUCUUCCUCUCCCCCGAGCUCUACUUUCCGUUAAUGGCAACGAGAACGUUGAGCUCCACUCAGUUCCCAAUCUUACCCUCGCCACCCUUUCUAUCCCUCUCUCCACGCCUCGGUCACUCCUACCGCAAACCGCCGCCCGCCGCCUCCAUCAUCCGCCGCAGGUUCCGGCUGAAACCACCUCCUGAUUCAGCCAUAUAUAUCCGGCGCGACUCCGACUCCGACUCCGACUCCGAGCCGUUGUUAGAUUCCAGAUUUGGUGAGUCAUUUUUACGUUUAUACGCUGAGUGAGAUUAAUUUGAUGAUGAAUUGGAAUACGCAAAAAUUUACCUACAUAACAUACUACUUUUGUCCUGCUAGUUCUGUUUUCUGGCACUUCUGAUAAGAUUGUUUUCAAGUGUAUGAACGAUGUGGAGGAGUGCGGAUUUUGCAGAUGAUGCAGUUUUUGAAGUGUUGUACUCCCUCCGUCCCAGCUUUUAGUAUCCAAUUUUCCUUUUUUGGCCGUCCCACAUUUUAGUAUCUAUUUCUAUUUUUGGUAAAGUAGGUGGGGCCCUUAUUCCACUUUAAUUAUUUUAUUUCACUCACAACACAUCAAUCACUUUAUUAAAACCCAUGUCGUUCUCAACUGGAUACCAAAAGCCGGGACGGAGGGAGUACUAAUUUGUAUUUCAUGAGUUGAGAACUGCGGAUUUUGUGGAUAACGCAGUUAUUAAGUAGAAUAUUUAAUGAGCUGAGACUUGUUCUUUUAAAUCUACGAAUGUACUAUUACUAAUUUACUAUAGUAAAUUAUUUGCCAGAACUCUUGGAGAUAUUGAAUUCGCAGAUAAAGAGAUAGAAACUGGUUUCCGGCGGAGAGUGGUAGAGAAUGAAAUCGCGUGUUCUGUUUUCGCUCGUUUUCUGAGAGUAAUGUAACGUGGAAACAUCUAUAUUCGAUUAGGUGAACAAAAAUUCAUUCAAGGAUGAAAAUAUUUUUUCUUCUUUGUUAAUCUAAGCUCGAAUUGCAUAUAAUUGUUUUUCUUCUACGUAUUCUGAACUAAUGAAAACUGCUUCUUCUUUUUCACAGCACGGUUUUCGCUCUCUGUUGAGUACUCUAUGAAAACAAAUUCUCGAUCAUUUUGCAUUACUCUAUAACUUUUACCUGGAAUGUUGAAAUUAGAAUGAUUUGAAUCUUUGUGAUUUAUUAUAUAGAGUUUGUUUUCUUUCUUGUGAUGGUAGCUUGUUUUCUUUCUGUCUCUCUCUCAUCCCUACUUAAAAU